UCCGUAGGUGAACCUGCGGAAGGAUCAUUACAGAAAGUAAACGCGGAUCGAACCGCGAACUUCUAAACCUUUGACGAUUGACUCAUGUUGCCUCGGCGGGUUCUCCCGCCAGAGGAUACAUCAAAACUCCUGUUUUAACGGUGUUGUCUGAGCUACAAGCAACGAAUCAAAACUUUCAACAACGGAUCUCUUGGUUCUGGCAUCGAUGAAGAACGCAGCGAAAUGCGAUAAGUAGUGUGAAUUGCAGAAUUCAGUGAAUCAUCGAAUCUUUGAACGCACAUUGCGCCCCUUGGUAUCCCGAGGGGCAUGCCUGCUCGAGCGUCAUUUCACCACUCAAGCCUGGCUUGGUGUUGGGCGACGUCCCCAAAGGGGACGCGCCUCGAAACGCUCGGCGGCGUGGCACCGGCUUUAAGCGUAGCAGAAUCUUUCGCUUCAAAAGUCGGGGCCCCGUCUGCCGGAAGACCUACUCGCAAGGUUGACCUCGGAUCAGGCAGGGAUACCCGCUGAACUUAAGCAUAUCAAUAAGCGGAGGA
This 533-nucleotide ribosomal RNA is filed under the name uncultured Cenococcum. RNAcentral describes it as "eukaryotic LSU rRNA". The stretch from base 171 to 324 matches the Rfam family "5.8S ribosomal RNA". Lineage: Eukaryota; Fungi; Ascomycota; Dothideomycetes; Gloniales; Gloniaceae. The record is from RNAcentral.